RNAcentral lists this ribosomal RNA (253 nucleotides) under uncultured bacterium. RNAcentral describes it as "partial 16S ribosomal RNA". It matches the Rfam family "Bacterial small subunit ribosomal RNA", at positions 524 to 776 of the family's 1533-position model. The record is from RNAcentral.
UACGUAGGGGGCUAGCGUUGUUCGGAAUCACUGGGCGUAAAGGGCGUGUAGGCGGUCAAGUAAGUGGAAUGUGAAACGCCUCGGCUUACCCGAGGACCUGCAUCCCAAACUGCUUGGCUUGAGUAUGGGAGAGGAUGAGGGAAUUCCUGGUGUAGCGGUGAAAUGCGUAGAUAUCAGGAGGAACACCGGUGGCGAAAGCGCUCAUCUGGCCCAAUACUGACGCUGAGGCGCGAAAGCUAGGGGAGCAAACGGG